UCCCUAAUAGCUCAGUUGGUAAAGAAUCUGCCUGCAAUGCAGGACCCUGGUUCGAUUCCAGGUCAGGAAG
RNAcentral lists this transfer RNA (70 nucleotides) under Bos taurus (domestic cattle). It matches the Rfam family "tRNA". From Rfam's summary of the family: Transfer RNA (tRNA) molecules are approximately 80 nucleotides in length. Their secondary structure includes four short double-helical elements and three loops (D, anti-codon, and T loops). RNAcentral also lists the same sequence under 3 other names. Lineage: Eukaryota; Metazoa; Chordata; Mammalia; Artiodactyla; Bovidae. The record is from Rfam by way of RNAcentral.